AUUGAACGCUGGCGGCAGGCCUAACACAUGCAAGUCGAACGGUAACAGGAAGCAGCUUGCUGCUUUGCUGACGAGUGGCGGACGGGUGAGUAAUGUCUGGGAAACUGCCUGAUGGAGGGGGAUAACUACUGGAAACGGUAGCUAAUACCGCAUAACGUCGCAAGACCAAAGAGGGGGACCUUCGGGCCUCUUGCCAUCGGAUGUGCCCAGCUGGGAUUAGCUAGUAGGUGGGGUAACGGCUCACCUAGGCGACGAUCCCUAGCUGGUCUGAGAGGAUGACCAGCCACACUGGAACUGAGACACGGUCCAGACUCCUACGGGAGGCAGCAGUGGGGAAUAUUGCACAAUGGGCGCAAGCCUGAUGCAGCCAUGCCGCGUGUAUGAAGAAGGCCUUCGGGUUGUAAAGUACUUUCAGCGGGGAGGAAGGGAGUAAAGUUAAUACCUUUGCUGAUUGACGUUACCCGCAGAAGAAGCACCGGCUAACUACGUG
RNAcentral lists this ribosomal RNA (490 nucleotides) under uncultured bacterium. RNAcentral's name for it is "partial 16S ribosomal RNA". It matches the Rfam family "Bacterial small subunit ribosomal RNA", at positions 30 to 507 of the family's 1533-position model. The record is from RNAcentral.